GCUAUCCCGAGUGCCGUCCGCUGAGGAUGGCUUUUACCCAGUCUAGAACGCUGGGGGAAUAAGGAGAGGGCAAGUCUGGUGUCAGCCGCCGCGGUAAUACCAGCUCUCCGAGUGGUGUGGAUGUUUAUUGGGCCUAAAGCAUCCGUAGCUGGCCAAGUAAGUCCCUUGUUAAACCCACCGAAUUAAUCGUUGGAUUGCGGGGGAUACUGCUCGGCUAGGGGACGAGAGAGGCAGACGGUAUUUUCGGGGUAGGGGUGAAAUCCUAUAAUCCCGGGAAGACCACCAGUGGCGAAGGCUGUCUGCUAGAACGCGCCCGACGGUGAGGGAUGAAAGCUGGGGGAGCGAACCGGAUUAGAUACCCGGGUAGUCCCAGCUGUAAACGAUGCAGGCUAGGUGUUUGGGCGGCCACGUGCCGCUCUAGUGCCGCAGGGAAGCUGUUAAGCCUGCCGCCUGGGGAGUACGGUCGCAAGAUUGAAACUUAAAGGAAUUGGCGGGGGAGCACCACAAGGGGUGAAGCUUGCGGUUUAAUUGGAGUCAACGCCGGAAUCUCACCGGAGCGACAGCAGUUUGAAGGCCAGAUGAGGUCUUGCCAGACGAGUGAGAGGAGGGCAU
RNAcentral lists this ribosomal RNA (612 nucleotides) under uncultured archaeon. Its description in RNAcentral is "bacterial SSU rRNA". It matches the Rfam family "Archaeal small subunit ribosomal RNA", at positions 375 to 995 of the family's 1478-position model. The record is from RNAcentral.